GCCAUCGUAGUAUAGUGGCAGUACUCAGCGUUGUGACCGCUGCGACGCAGGUUCGAUUCCUGCCGAUGGCA
Globomyces pollinis-pini is the source of this 71-nucleotide non-coding RNA. NCBI's taxonomy places the organism in Eukaryota, Fungi, Chytridiomycota, Chytridiomycetes, Rhizophydiales, Globomycetaceae. The record is from the annotation of a GenBank genome assembly.